GUCAAUGAUGAUAUAAUCCAUGUUGUUGAGGUGUAGUGGAACCAAGAUCCUGUUUACAGGUGAACCUACUUGGUGAAGCUACAUUCAUAUGAUGUUAUUGGAUUUCACUGAGGU
Small nucleolar RNA from Lotus japonicus, 114 nucleotides. RefSeq annotates it as small nucleolar RNA Z278. The record is from RefSeq and is a predicted model, not a curated record. NCBI's taxonomy places the organism in Eukaryota, Viridiplantae, Streptophyta, Magnoliopsida, Fabales, Fabaceae. The transcript has a single exon.